RNAcentral lists this ribosomal RNA (119 nucleotides) under Pteropus alecto (black flying fox). Lineage: Eukaryota; Metazoa; Chordata; Mammalia; Chiroptera; Pteropodidae. The record is from RNAcentral.
GUCUACGGCCAUGCCACCCUGAACAACCCCGAUCCCGCCUGAUCUUGGAAGCUAAGCAGUGUCGGGCCUGGUUAGUAUUUGGAUGGGAGACCACCUAGAAAGACCAGGUGCUGUAGGCA